RNAcentral lists this ribosomal RNA (443 nucleotides) under uncultured bacterium. Its description in RNAcentral is "partial 16S ribosomal RNA". It matches the Rfam family "Bacterial small subunit ribosomal RNA", at positions 338 to 795 of the family's 1533-position model. The record is from RNAcentral.
CCUACGGGUGGCAGCAGUGGGGGAUAUUGCACAAUGGGGGGAACCCUGACCCAGCAACGCCGCGUGAAGGAAGAAGGCUUUCGGGUUGUAAACUUCUUUUCUCAGGGACGAAGCAAGUGACGGUACCUGAGGAAUAAGCCACGGCUAACUACGUGCCAGCAGCCGCGGUAAUACGUAGGUGGCAAGCGUUAUCCGGAUUUACUGGGUGUAAAGGGCGUGUAGGCGGGACUGCAAGUCAGAUGUGAAAACCACGGGCUCAACCUGUGGCCUGCAUUUGAAACUGUAGUUCUUGAGUACUGGAGAGGCAGACGGAAUUCCUAGUGUAGCGGUGAAAUGCGUAGAUAUUAGGAGGAACACCAGUGGCGAAGGCGGUCUGCUGGACAGCAACUGACGCUGAGGCGCGAAAGCGUGGGGAGCAAACAGGAUUAGAUACCCGGGUAGUC